AAGUCGUAACAAGGUUUCCGUAGGUGAACCUGCGGAAGGAUCAUUACCAAAGUAUAUUACUCACCACUUGUGAACACUUACUUGUCCUUGGGAAGGAGAGGAGGAUAACGGGCGUGUUAACUCCCACCCGCCUUCCUGUUACCCGCCUUCCUGUUUUCCUUCCCAGCGGAGCGCCUGCUGACUGCUUGCAGUUGGCGGGUCCACUUUCGCCAAAUGUAUUAACCCACAUGUACAAAGUUGAAACUGGUGUUUGUACCUUUCUCUUUUUGAGAAAUCAAAAAGAUUGACAACUUUUAACGGUGGAUCUCUUGGCUCGU
Molecule: unclassified non-coding RNA, 317 nt
Filed under: fungal sp.
Lineage: Eukaryota; Fungi
Description: partial internal transcribed spacer region
Rfam family: Eukaryotic small subunit ribosomal RNA (bases 1-46)
Source: RNAcentral